RNAcentral lists this long non-coding RNA (208 nucleotides) under Capsicum annuum. RNAcentral's name for it is "long non-coding RNA (CANN_LNC019161)". The record is from RNAcentral. Lineage: Eukaryota; Viridiplantae; Streptophyta; Magnoliopsida; Solanales; Solanaceae.
AGCAGUUUUGAAGCUAUCGUUAUGCGCAACUGUUGCUGAAGUUGUUGGAGCUGGUUUUGCCGUUGUUGAAUAGGUGUUGGAUUAUUGUUUGAGUUACUUUUUUAUACGUCGUUUUGCAUAUUGUACGCUGGUAUGCUGAUGUUAACAACUGAUCAAGAGGAAAGGAGAAGGGAAAAUUUCAGAAAUAGCAACUCUGUAGCCUUAAUUA